Molecule: ribosomal RNA, 253 nt
Filed under: uncultured bacterium
Lineage: Bacteria
Description: partial 16S ribosomal RNA
Rfam family: Bacterial small subunit ribosomal RNA
Source: RNAcentral
GACAGAGGGUGCAAACGUUGUUCGGAAUUACUGGGCGUAAAGCGCGUGUAGGCGGCUAAGUAAGUCGGGCGUGAAAUCCCACGGCUCAACCGUGGAAGUGCACUCGAAACUGCAUAGCUAGAGUCCUGGAGAGGAAUGUGGAAUGCUUGGUGUAGAGGUGAAAUUCGUAGAUAUCAAGCGGAACACCGGUGGCGAAGGCGGCCUUCUGGACAGUGACUGACGCUGAGACGCGAAAGCGUGGGGAGCAAACAGG